UACGAAGGGGGCUAGCGUUGCUCGGAAUUACUGGGCAUAAAGGGUGCGUAGGCGGUUUGUUAAGUCAGGGGUGAAAGUUUUCGGCCCAACCGGAAAAUUGCCUUUGAUACUGGCGAACUUGAGUGCGUGAGGGGUAACCGGAACGAGUGGUGUAGCGGUGAAAUGCGUAGAUAUCACUCGGAAGGCCAAAGGCGAAGGCAGGUUACUGGUACGCAACUGACGCUGAGGCACGAAAGCGUGGGGAGCAAACAGG
This 253-nucleotide ribosomal RNA is filed under the name uncultured bacterium. RNAcentral describes it as "partial 16S ribosomal RNA". It matches the Rfam family "Bacterial small subunit ribosomal RNA", at positions 524 to 776 of the family's 1533-position model. The record is from RNAcentral.